GACGAACGCUGGCGGCGUGCUUAACACAUGCAAGUCGAGCGGAGCGGCGAACGGGUGAGUAACGCGUGAGUAACUGCCCCCCUCUCUGGGAUAACAGUUGGAAACGGCUGCUAAUACCGGAUAGUGGGGGAUGACUCGCGUCCUAUCAGCUUGUUGGUGGGGGAGUGGCCUACCAAGGCGACGACGGGUAGCCGGCCUGGGAGGGCGACCGGCCACAUUAGGCUGAGAUACGGCGCAGAGUCCUACGGGGGGCAGCAGUGGGAAGUAUUGCACAGUGGGGGAAACCCUGAUGCAGCGACGCCGCGGGCGUAAUGACGGCCUUCGGGUUAUAAACCGCUUUCAGCCAUGACGCGGUAGUGGCAGAAGAAGCACCGGCUAACUACGUACCAGCAGCCGCGGUAAUAC
RNAcentral lists this ribosomal RNA (405 nucleotides) under uncultured bacterium. Its description in RNAcentral is "partial 16S ribosomal RNA". It matches the Rfam family "Bacterial small subunit ribosomal RNA", at positions 28 to 526 of the family's 1533-position model. The record is from RNAcentral.